AUCCAAUUAAAAAAUGGGCUCAUGCAAUGGCUGCAAACAGCAGCAUCCUUGGUAGUGUACGCAACCUGUUGCUAGUAUGGGUUGCCUUAAGGGACCUUGGAUACAGCC
Small nucleolar RNA from Myotis myotis, 108 nucleotides. RefSeq annotates it as small nucleolar RNA SNORA70. Lineage: Eukaryota; Metazoa; Chordata; Mammalia; Chiroptera; Vespertilionidae. The transcript has a single exon. The record is from RefSeq and is a predicted model, not a curated record.